Molecule: ribosomal RNA, 1371 nt
Filed under: uncultured bacterium
Lineage: Bacteria
Description: bacterial SSU rRNA
Rfam family: Bacterial small subunit ribosomal RNA
Source: RNAcentral
GAUGAGCGCUGGCGGCGUGCCUAAUACAUGCAAGUCGAGCGAACGGACGAGAAGCUUGCUUCUCUGAUGUUAGCGGCGGACGGGUGAGUAACACGUGGAUAACCUACCUAUAAGACUGGGAUAACUUCGGGAAACCGGAGCUAAUACCGGAUAAUAUUUUGAACCGCAUGGUUCAAAAGUGAAAGACGGUCUUGCUGUCACUUAUAGAUGGAUCCGCGCUGCAUUAGCUAGUUGGUAAGGUAACGGCUUACCAAGGCAACGAUGCAUAGCCGACCUGAGAGGGUGAUCGGCCACACUGGAACUGAGACACGGUCCAGACUCCUACGGGAGGCAGCAGUAGGGAAUCUUCCGCAAUGGGCGAAAGCCUGACGGAGCAACGCCGCGUGAGUGAUGAAGGUCUUCGGAUCGUAAAACUCUGUUAUUAGGGAAGAACAUAUGUGUAAGUAACUGUGCACAUCUUGACGGUACCUAAUCAGAAAGCCACGGCUAACUACGUGCCAGCAGCCGCGGUAAUACGUAGGUGGCAAGCGUUAUCCGGAAUUAUUGGGCGUAAAGCGCGCGUAGGCGGUUUUUUAAGUCUGAUGUGAAAGCCCACGGCUCAACCGUGGAGGGUCAUUGGAAACUGGAAAACUUGAGUGCAGAAGAGGAAAGUGGAAUUCCAUGUGUAGCGGUGAAAUGCGCAGAGAUAUGGAGGAACACCAGUGGCGAAGGCGACUUUCUGGUCUGUAACUGACGCUGAUGUGCGAAAGCGUGGGGAUCAAACAGGAUUAGAUACCCUGGUAGUCCACGCCGUAAACGAUGAGUGCUAAGUGUUAGGGGGUUUCCGCCCCUUAGUGCUGCAGCUAACGCAUUAAGCACUCCGCCUGGGGAGUACGACCGCAAGGUUGAAACUCAAAGGAAUUGACGGGGACCCGCACAAGCGGUGGAGCAUGUGGUUUAAUUCGAAGCAACGCGAAGAACCUUACCAAAUCUUGACAUCCUUUGACAACUCUAGAGAUAGAGCCUUCCCCUUCGGGGGACAAAGUGACAGGUGGUGCAUGGUUGUCGUCAGCUCGUGUCGUGAGAUGUUGGGUUAAGUCCCGCAACGAGCGCAACCCUUAAGCUUAGUUGCCAUCAUUAAGUUGGGCACUCUAAGUUGACUGCCGGUGACAAACCGGAGGAAGGUGGGGAUGACGUCAAAUCAUCAUGCCCCUUAUGAUUUGGGCUACACACGUGCUACAAUGGACAAUACAAAGGGCAGCGAAACCGCGAGGUCAAGCAAAUCCCAUAAAGUUGUUCUCAGUUCGGAUUGUAGUCUGCAACUCGACUACAUGAAGCUGGAAUCGCUAGUAAUCGUAGAUCAGCAUGCUACGGUGAAUACGUUCCCGGGUC